UACGAAGGGGGCGAGCGUUGUUCGGAUUUACUGGGCGUAAAGGGCGCGCAGGCGGCUCAUUUUGUCAGGCGUGAAAGCCCCGGGCUUAACCUGGGAACUGCGUUUGAUACGGAUGGGCUAGAGUUCGGGAGAGGAGCGUGGAAUUCCCAGUGUAGAGGUGAAAUUCGUAGAUAUUCGCAAGAACACCAGUGGCGAAGGCGACUCACUGGCCCGAUACUGACGCUGAGGCGCGAAAGCGUGGGGAGCAAACAGG
This 253-nucleotide ribosomal RNA is filed under the name uncultured bacterium. RNAcentral describes it as "partial 16S ribosomal RNA". It matches the Rfam family "Bacterial small subunit ribosomal RNA", at positions 524 to 776 of the family's 1533-position model. The record is from RNAcentral.